RNAcentral lists this ribosomal RNA (252 nucleotides) under uncultured bacterium. RNAcentral describes it as "partial 16S ribosomal RNA". It matches the Rfam family "Bacterial small subunit ribosomal RNA", at positions 524 to 776 of the family's 1533-position model. The record is from RNAcentral.
UACGGAGGAUGCAAGCGUUAUCCGGAAUGAUUGGGCGUAAGGGGUCCCCGGGGGUUGGGUCAGGUUGCUGGUAAAGAAUGAGGCUUAACCUCAUCAAGGCAGUGGAAACUACACAGCUAGAGUACGGUCGGGGUAGAAGGAAUUCCUGGUGUAGCGGUGAAAUGCGUAGAGAUCAGGAAGAACACCGGUGGCGAAAGCGUUCUGCUAGACCUGUACUGACACUGAGGGACGAAAGCUAGGGGAGCGAAUGGG